RNAcentral lists this ribosomal RNA (208 nucleotides) under uncultured bacterium. RNAcentral's name for it is "partial 16S ribosomal RNA". It matches the Rfam family "Bacterial small subunit ribosomal RNA", at positions 1293 to 1500 of the family's 1533-position model. The record is from RNAcentral.
UCGGAUUGUAGUCUGNAACCCGACUACAUGAAGCUGGAAUCGCUAGUAAUCGCGGAUCAGAAUGCCGCGGUGAAUACGUUCCCGGGUCUCGUACACACCGCCCGUCACACCAUGGGAGUCGGAAAUGCCCGAAGUCAGUGACCCAACCGUAAGGAGGGAGCUGCCGAAGGUGGAGCCGGUAACUGGGGUGAAGUCGUAACAAGGUAAC